AGUGAACGCUGGCGGUAGGCCUAACACAUGCAAGUCGAACGGCAGCACAGUAAGAGCUUGCUCUUACGGGUGGCGAGUGGCGGACGGGUGAGGAAUACAUCGGAAUCUACUUUUUCGUGGGGGAUAACGUAGGGAAACUUACGCUAAUACCGCAUACGACCUACGGGUGAAAGCAGGGGAUCUUCGGACCUUGCGCGAUUGAACGAGCCGAUGUCGGAUUAGCUAGUUGGCGGGGUAAAGGCCCACCAAGGCGACGAUCCGUAGCUGGUCUGAGAGGAUGAUCAGCCACACGGGAACUGAGACACGGUCCAGACUCCUACGAGAGGCAGCAGUGGGGAAUAUUGGACAGUAGGCGCAAGCCUGAUCCAGCCAUACCGCGUGGGUGAAGAAGGCCUUCGGGUUGUAAAGCCCUUUUGUUGGGAAAGAAAAGCAGCAGGUUAAUACCCCGCUGUUCUGACGGUACCCAAAGAAUAAGCACCGGCUAACUUCGUG
RNAcentral lists this ribosomal RNA (492 nucleotides) under uncultured bacterium. RNAcentral describes it as "partial 16S ribosomal RNA". It matches the Rfam family "Bacterial small subunit ribosomal RNA", at positions 29 to 507 of the family's 1533-position model. The record is from RNAcentral.